UCAACACUUUUACUCGUUUCCUACCAAUGUUUUUGUUGCCUGACCUUUCAACUCUCAGUUCAUUGCCAGUACCAGCUGCCUCGUUCUGAACUUGAAAAUAAGUUUGAGAACACAAACAAUCGUAUGAGAUCAUAUUUGUUGAAAAGGGACAAUCCACAGUUACGUCACUGCAUCUCACCUUACCAUGUCAACAAGUUUUUAAGGCAGGGCACAUGUGUUUUUGUACCCAAUUCUCAACCCAAGUUUAAUUUCCUGUAAAAGGGAAAUUCCUGUUAUGGGCUAUUCUUUUAAAUCAUUCCGAAAACAAAUAAUCAAUGAAAGGAAAACAUGUACUGAAGUGUGCCCUUUGUGCUUUGAACUUAAAUUGGACCAUUGUUGUAUUUCACAUUUUGGACCGAAGCGAGAGUCCACUCACAGUGCCUUGGCCACCACGAUCCCUCCCAGCUACUCCCUCCCAGUCCUCCUCCCAGCUACUGCCGGAUUCUUCUUCCAUGCUCUUCCAAGAAGGCCUGGGUCCAAGAUCAGGCUCCUCUUCAGUCUUUUAAGUGUGGAAUCAGCUCCAGGGAAUCCACACAAACGCACGGAUACUUGAAGUCACGACUAUUAACAUCUAUUUUCUUCUCAAAGAAGAAAGGUACCUUGUGCGCAUGAGACUAAGGAGACGGUUUCGCUUUGUUUAAAGGCAUUUUUGAAAAUCAGUCAGUUUUGAAACAUGACACAUGCAUUUUUCCCCUACCAGUUUUUAAGAAAAGGUUAAAAAUGCAAAGGGUGUGCAGCUCAAUGCGUUAUAAUCCAUCCAAAUGAAAGCAUCUGGUGAAGUAACAAAGUACAGCAUAGACUGUUCCAGGGCUCGAGGGGAGAAACCUACGGAGUCUCCUUCUCCCAGUCUGAUCUACAGCAGAAUCUGAUAAAUGGAAGCUGUUUGUGUUGAAAACAUGGCAUGAUGACUCAUAUUUUCAUGCAAAACAUGGUAUCUCUGCACCACUAAUACUGUCCUGCAGAUAUGACCAUUACAGACACAUCAAGGGGUCAGUUUUUGGUACUUUCUGCUGUCUUUGGAUGUUCUUGGGGGGUGAGGGGUUGUGUGUUGCUUUUAUUACAACUGUAAAGGUGCUGUAACAAUGUGUUAUGUAGCUGCACUUACGGUGCAACAUUAAAUAUAUCUGUCUAUUUUGAACCGCUGUGUAGCAUUUCGCAUUUUUUGUAGGACUUUUCCAUUCUUGUUUGUUACUGCUCUGAUUACAUACACUGUGACUGAUCUCGCUGAAUUUGAUCGCUUGUUUCGUCAUUAUUUCAUUCAAUUUUAAUUUGGACUGUUUUAUGUGAAACACUGAGGAUCAGGGAACCCAUAUGGAGCUACGUAAAUAAAGUUAAAUUGUCACAGGAGACUGAUUGCAUUGAGUUGGAUUUGGGUGUCAUUCAUUAUAGAAGCAGAGAAGAAACUCAGGAUCUGAAACUCGAUCUGAGCAGCAGGCCUGAGGUAGAGAAAGGCUGGAAGAGAAUGAAAGGAAAGAGGAAGAGGUCACACUGGGAAAACGAGGCAGACGGGGCAUGCGGUAAUGAUGGAGACAAUAAUACCUGGAUAAAUCAAUUAGAUUUAGGCACGACUGUGUUGGUCUAGUAAUAUAUUUACUAACAAUGUUUAAGGCCACUGCCUACCCUGGAAGAGGUUCUCAUCUGUAUUUUAUAAAAACAGAUUCACAAUCAAGCCUGUCAGCAGCACACAAAGCCCUAUUGUGGUUUAUUUUGUACACAUGGAAAUCAGUGCGGCAUUGAAUCGUCUGCUGAUGACCUGAAAUGCCAACUCUGGACUCCUAUCACAGGAUGAUUUCCCAUGUUAGUGUAACCAGGCUACAAAAACUAAGGAGUCCAUGCUGGCCCAAUAUGUGAUACUUACAAAUAAUAAUAAUAAUAAUAAUAUCAUCACCCAGUGAAGUCAGUUGAAGUAAAAGAAAGAAAUACUCGUGUCAGAAUGACAACUUGCAGUUAAAUAUUUUUGCGUUAUUUUAAUUUUAUACAAUAUUCCUGGGGUGGCACGGUGGCGUGGUGGGUAGCGCUGUCGCCUCACAGUGAGGAGGGCCUGGGUUCGAUUCCCUGGCUGGGCGAUCAGGGUCCUCUCUGUGUGGAGUCUGCAUGUUCUCCCCGUGUCUGCGUGGGUUUCCUCCGGGUUCUCCGGUUUCCUCCCACAGUCCAAAGACAUGCAGUCA
Molecule: long non-coding RNA, 2207 nt
Organism: Pygocentrus nattereri (red-bellied piranha)
Lineage: Eukaryota; Metazoa; Chordata; Actinopteri; Characiformes; Serrasalmidae
Source: Ensembl